Molecule: ribosomal RNA, 504 nt
Filed under: uncultured organism
Description: SSU rRNA
Rfam family: Bacterial small subunit ribosomal RNA
Source: RNAcentral
AUCCUGGCUCAGGAUGAACGCUAGCUACAGGCUUAACACAUGCAAGUCGAGGGGCAGCAUUAUCGAAGCUUGCUUUGAUAGAUGGCGACCGGCGCACGGGUGCGUAACACGUAUCCAAUCUACCCAUGGCUCGGGAAUAGCCUUUCGAAAGAAAGAUUAAUGCCCGAUGGUCUUACCUUGAGACAUCUCUUGGCAAGUAAAGAUUUAUCGGCGAUGGAUGAGGAUGCGUCCGAUUAGGUAGUAGGCGGGGUAACGGCCCACCUAGCCGACGAUCGGUAGGGGUUCUGAGAGGAAGGUCCCCCACAUUGGAACUGAGACACGGUCCAAACUCCUACGGGAGGCAGCAGUGAGGAAUAUUGGUCAAUGGGCGCGAGCCUGAACCAGCCAAGUAGCGUGAAGGAUGACUGCCCUAUGGGUUGUAAACUUCUUUUGUUAGGGAAUAAAGUGCCCCACGUGUGGGGUUUUGCAUGUACCUUACGAAUAAGCAUCGGCUAAUUCCGUGCC